Molecule: ribosomal RNA, 468 nt
Filed under: uncultured bacterium
Lineage: Bacteria
Description: partial 16S ribosomal RNA
Rfam family: Bacterial small subunit ribosomal RNA
Source: RNAcentral
GACGAACGCUGGCGGCGUGCUUAACACAUGCAAGUCGAACGGAAAGGCCCUGCUUUUGUGGGGUGCUCGAGUGGCGAACGGGUGAGUAACACGUGAGUAACCUGCCCUUGACUUUGGGAUAACUUCAGGAAACUGGGGCUAAUACCGGAUAGGAGCUCCUGCUGCAUGGUGGGGGUUGGAAAGUUUCGGCGGUUGGGGAUGGACUCGCGGCUUAUCAGCUUGUUGGUGGGGUAGUGGCUUACCAAGGCUUUGACGGGUAGCCGGCCUGAGAGGGUGACCGGCCACAUUGGGACUGAGAGACGGCCCAGACUCCUACGGGAGGCAGCAGUCGGGAAUAUGGCACAAUGGGCGGAAGCCUGAUGCAGCAACGCCGCGUGCGGGAUGACGGCCUUCGGGUGGUAAACCGCUUUCGCCGGUGACGAAGCGUGAGUGACGGUAAUGGGUAAGGAAGCACCGGCUAACUACGUG